Molecule: ribosomal RNA, 350 nt
Filed under: Wagneriana eupalaestra
Lineage: Eukaryota; Metazoa; Arthropoda; Arachnida; Araneae; Araneidae
Description: partial small subunit ribosomal RNA
Source: RNAcentral
UAGAUACCCUAUUAUAUUUAAAUUACUUUAGGUAGUAUUAAUUUUUUAAAAACCUAUGCAGUUUGGCGGCAUUAAAUCACUUUAGAGGAACCUGCCUUUUGAUCGAUACCACACGAUAAAUUUUACUUUUAUUUACAUCUUAUAUACCUCCGUCUCAAGGGUUAAUAAUUUUGUUCUCCCUAAAAAGAAUUCUAACAAGUUAGGUAAAGGUGUAGACUAUACAAAAGUUAAGGUGGGUUACAAUAAAUUUCAUUUAAGGAUUUUAAAUAAAAUUUAAAAAUGAAAAAGGAUCCAUUAGUAAUUUAAGGGUAUUAUCCUUUUAUGAAGUUGAUAAACAAUGUGCACACAUC